Molecule: microRNA, 23 nt
Filed under: Oreochromis niloticus (Nile tilapia)
Lineage: Eukaryota; Metazoa; Chordata; Actinopteri; Cichliformes; Cichlidae
Description: oni-miR-10871
Source: miRBase by way of RNAcentral
AAGGGCCUGUAUUUGUAUAGCGC